AUGUUUGAACAAUUUGGUGAGAAUCUGUUUGAAGGUGGAUCAUACCAAGUCGAGGAGAUUGAAAAGAAAAAGAAAAACAUCGCAAGGCACAACGACGCCUUAAAACGAGAGAAGUGGAGUAAGGUCGAAUACGAGGUGACCAUAUCAGAUGAAGUUGACUGGUUUGAAUGUGAAUGCGGGCAGUUUGCCCACAUGGGAAUGUUUUGCUGCCAUGCUUUGAAGGUUACUUUCUGA
This 234-nucleotide ribosomal RNA is filed under the name Triticum aestivum (bread wheat). RNAcentral describes it as "partial small subunit ribosomal RNA". The record is from RNAcentral. Lineage: Eukaryota; Viridiplantae; Streptophyta; Magnoliopsida; Poales; Poaceae.